UGGGGAAUUUUGGACAAUGGGGGCAACCCUGAUCCAGCCAUGCCGCGUGCGGGAAGAAGGCCUUCGGGUUGUAAACCGCUUUUAGCCGGGAAGAAAAGGCGCAAGACAAUACCUUGCGUUCUUGACGGUACCGGCGGAAUAAGCACCGGCUAACUACGUGCCAGCAGCCGCGGUAAUACGUAGGGUGCGAGCGUUAAUCGGAAUUACUGGGCGUAAAGCGUGCGCAGGCGGUUCGUUAAGUCAGAUGUGAAAGCCCCGGGCUCAACCUGGGAACUGCAUUUGAAACUGGCGGGCUUGAAUGCGGCAGAGGGGGGUGGAAUUCCGCGUGUAGCAGUGAAAUGCGUAGAGAUGCGGAGGAACACCGAUGGCGAAGGCAGCCCCCUGGGCCGACAUUGACGCUCAGGCACGAAAGCGUGGGGAGCAAACAGG
RNAcentral lists this ribosomal RNA (429 nucleotides) under Bacillota bacterium. Its description in RNAcentral is "Firmicutes bacterium partial 16S ribosomal RNA". It matches the Rfam family "Bacterial small subunit ribosomal RNA", at positions 355 to 776 of the family's 1533-position model. Lineage: Bacteria; Bacillati; Bacillota. The record is from RNAcentral.